GAAGGGUGCAAGCGUUACUCGGAAUUACUGGGCGUAAAGCGUGCGUAGGCGGUUUGUUAAGUCUGUCGUGAAAGCCCCGGGCUCAACCUGGGAAUGGCGAUGGAUACUGGCGAGCUAGAGUACGGUAGAGGAGAGUGGAAUUCCCGGUGUAGCAGUGAAAUGCGUAGAGAUCGGGAGGAACAUCAGUUGCGAAGGCGGCUCUCUGGACCAGUACUGACGCUGAGGCACGAAAGCGUGGGGAGCAAACAGGAUUAGAUACCCUGGUAGUCCACGCCCUAAACGAUGCGAACUGGACGUUGGGAGCAAUUAGGCUCUCAGUGUCGAAGCUAACGCGUUAAGUUCGCCGCCUGGGGAGUACGGUCGCAAGGCUA
This 371-nucleotide ribosomal RNA is filed under the name uncultured bacterium. RNAcentral's name for it is "bacterial SSU rRNA". It matches the Rfam family "Bacterial small subunit ribosomal RNA", at positions 527 to 896 of the family's 1533-position model. The record is from RNAcentral.